GCCUGGGUGGCUCAGUUGGUUAAGCAUCUGACUUCGGCUCAGGUCAUGAUCUCGCGGUCUGUGGGUUCGAGCCCCGCAUUGGGCU
This 85-nucleotide transfer RNA is filed under the name Felis catus (domestic cat). It matches the Rfam family "tRNA". Rfam says of the family: Transfer RNA (tRNA) molecules are approximately 80 nucleotides in length. RNAcentral also lists the same sequence under 1 other name. Lineage: Eukaryota; Metazoa; Chordata; Mammalia; Carnivora; Felidae. The record is from Rfam by way of RNAcentral.